This 274-nucleotide ribosomal RNA is filed under the name uncultured bacterium. RNAcentral's name for it is "partial 16S ribosomal RNA". It matches the Rfam family "Bacterial small subunit ribosomal RNA", at positions 523 to 796 of the family's 1533-position model. The record is from RNAcentral.
AUACGGAGGGUCCAAGCGUUAUCCGGAUUCAUUGGGUUUAAAGGGUCCGUAGGCGGGAAAAUAAGUCAGUGGUGAAAGCCUACAGCUCAACUGUAGAACUGCCAUUGAAACUGUUUUCCUUGAGUAUAGAUGAAGUGGGCGGAAUAUAUCAUGUAGCGGUGAAAUGCAUAGAUAUGAUAUAGAACACCGAUUGCGAAGGCAGCUCACUAAACUAUUACUGACGCUCAGGGACGAAAGCGUGGGGAGCGAACAGGAUUAGAAACCCUAGUAGUCC